This is a long non-coding RNA of Cyprinus carpio carpio, 829 nucleotides long. The record is from Ensembl. NCBI's taxonomy places the organism in Eukaryota, Metazoa, Chordata, Actinopteri, Cypriniformes, Cyprinidae.
GAAAUAAAAAGCGCCCUUCCUUAAAAAAAAGUGUCUCACACUGCUCCGGGGGGUGAACAAAGGCCUUCUGUAGCGAAUCAAUGCAUUUUUGGAAGAAAAAUAUCCAUAUUCAAAGCGUAAUAAUCACUUGAAUCUAGCUUGCACUCACUGUUGUAAACGGAAGCAGUUCCAGGGGAAUUACGUAUGAGGUCAGCUUUACAAAUUAAUUGUAUCAUAGUUGGCCUCGCUGUUGUGUAUUGGCCCCAGAGCCAGUGAUAUGCAGCGUAUAUUUAAUUCUUCAAAUAGCCUGUGAAAAUGUAAACAUAAAUUAUGUUAAACUUGGUGCAAUACUAAAAAUCUCCUAUUGUGUUUAAAAGAAUAGUUCACCCAAAAAUGAACAUUUGUUGUUAAUUUACAUCCCUUGGGCCAUACAAGGUUCUUUGCUGAAAGAAAGAAAACCAUGUCAGUUGGAAUGAAUCAAUUAUCAUUUUCAACCUUUUAGUCAAAGUUAGCCAAGUUAGCUACAUACUCUUGAAAGAAUGUCCAAAUAUAGUAGCCUACUACAUAAAAGCAGUCGCGUACCACCUUCACUGUGUGGCUUUUUAUCAAGGCUGACGUUUGUGUGAGUAGGAUUCAGCUUUGCUCAAAGAGGCUGUUGACUGGGGAGGAGAGUGUUGUUUUGCACAGCCGGCUGACGCAGGUGCCUGCAGACACUGCUGGCGCUCAACCAGGUGAGCUGUGGGCAGGUCUUAUCUAAACCCCGCCCCUCACUCCUGCUGCUGAGGUGGCUGUGGAGAGUUCUGGGAAAAACAACAAAGGCAAUAGAGGAAAAAGAGAGGGGGGAGGGCGG